This 253-nucleotide ribosomal RNA is filed under the name uncultured bacterium. RNAcentral describes it as "partial 16S ribosomal RNA". It matches the Rfam family "Bacterial small subunit ribosomal RNA", at positions 524 to 776 of the family's 1533-position model. The record is from RNAcentral.
UACGAAGGUCCCAAGCGUUAUCCGGAUUUAUUGGGUUUAAAGGGUGCGUAGGCGGGCUAUUAAGUCAGUGGUGAAAGCCCCAAGCUUAACUUGGGAACUGCCAUUGAUACUGAUGGUCUUGAGUACAUUUGAGGUGGGCGGAAUGUGUCAUGUAGCGGUGAAAUGCCUAGAUAUGACACAGAACACCGAUUGCGAAGGCAGCUCACUAAACUGUAACUGACGCUGAGGCACGAAAGCGUGGGGAGCAAGCAGG